AUACGUAGGUGGCAAGCGUUGUCCGGAAUUAUUGGGCGUAAAGCGCAUGUAGGCGGUAAUUUAAGUCUGUCGUGAAACUGCGGGGCUCAGCCCCGUAUGGCGAUGGAAACUGGGUUACUUGAGUGCAGGAGAGGAAAGGGGAACUCCCAGUGUAGCGGUGAAAUGCGUAGAUAUUGGGAAGAACACCGGUGGCGAAGGCGCCUUUCUGGACUGUGGCUGACGCUGAGAGGCGAAAGCCGGGGUAGCGAACGGGAUUAGAUACCCCGGUAGUCCUCGCCGUAAACGAUGGGUACUAGGUGUGGGGGGUAUCGACCCCUUCCGUGCCGGAGUUAACGCAAUAAGUACCCCGCCUGGGGAGUACGGCCGCAAGGCUUAAACUCAAAGGAAUUGACGGGG
This 396-nucleotide ribosomal RNA is filed under the name uncultured bacterium. Its description in RNAcentral is "partial 16S ribosomal RNA". It matches the Rfam family "Bacterial small subunit ribosomal RNA", at positions 523 to 918 of the family's 1533-position model. The record is from RNAcentral.